AUAAUGGAGAGUUUGAUCCUGGCUCAGGACGAACGCUGGCGGCGUGCCUAAUACAUGCAAGUCGAGCGGAACCCUUGGAGCUUGCUCCAAGAGUUUAGCGGCGGACGGGUGAGUAACACGUGGGCAACCUGCCCUGCAGAUCGGGAUAACUCCGGGAAACCGGUGCUAAUACCGAAUAGUUUGGUUCCCCUCCUGGGGAGCCACGGAAAGACGGUUUCGGCUGUCACUGCAGGAUGGGCCCGCGGCGCAUUAGCUAGUUGGUGGGGUAAUGGCCCACCAAGGCGACGAUGCGUAGCCGACCUGAGAGGGUGAUCGGCCACACUGGGACUGAGACACGGCCCAGACUCCUACGGGAGGCAGCAGUAGGGAAUCUUCCGCAAUGGACGAAAGUCUGACG
RNAcentral lists this ribosomal RNA (397 nucleotides) under Planococcus sp. CPCC 101016. RNAcentral's name for it is "bacterial SSU rRNA". It matches the Rfam family "Bacterial small subunit ribosomal RNA", at positions 1 to 388 of the family's 1533-position model. The record is from RNAcentral. Lineage: Bacteria; Bacillati; Bacillota; Bacilli; Caryophanales; Caryophanaceae.